GCACCAAAAGGCGAACGCCACUAUAUUAACAACCAAAUUCAAUACGGAUAAACUUUUAACCUAUUUUGAGAUAAGAGGAAUAACCCGAGGGCGCAGAACUUUGCCAGAAUUGUAUAUUUUAGACUUUGACGACACCUUCAUACUUGUCACUAGCAACAGCGACUUUAUCGACUCAUGAACACACUCAAAUGCUAUUAUAAGUGGAGCAAAGAUUACGAGUACAGAAACUAUUCCCGAAAUUGCAAUUUCAUCAAAUACCAGAAUAUCAGAAUUAAAGAAUUUGACAACUCAAAGCUCACCAAGAUCUAAAUUCGACGACAUUCUGCACCAUUUGAUGCAAGGCCAAAAGAAGAUCAAGUCUCAGGUCCCCAACAAAAUAAAAAAGAGCCUCUCUCGCAUCUGUUUGUUCAAGAAGAGCAGACAUUUAAAAUGAAGCUUUUCUAAAUAUUUCAAAACGUUCCAUCAACCUUUAUGAAAAUACUUCGAUUCACGCUGAUACUUGGGACAUGAUGAAAACGUAUUCUGACUCAAGGUUUGUUCGGGAAAUUGCUCAAAAGUUAUGGGGGAUGGAGGUUAUUCAAAGGAGAUGUUUAAAUGCUCAGAGAGCAAAUAACGAAAAGGAAAAUUCCCCUGAGGAACACAGAUUGCCUUUGACUCCUGAAAAAUUUGAAGUAGUAAAAGGUGAGAUAAUAUUCUCGAAAAUAUUAAAACAAUUACCAAGAAAAUAUGAAUUUAAUAAUAUCGAGAAAUUAAACAAUGUAAAUUGAACUUGUAAACAUUAACAAGUACUUCCAAAUUAAAAAUGAGUUACAGCCUUUAAUUUUAACUGUUUCUUUAUCUUUACAGAUUGCAAACGGAAGAAAG
Belonocnema kinseyi is the source of this 864-nucleotide long non-coding RNA. RefSeq lists it as uncharacterized. The transcript has 4 exons. The record is from RefSeq and is a predicted model, not a curated record. Lineage: Eukaryota; Metazoa; Arthropoda; Insecta; Hymenoptera; Cynipidae.